Molecule: transfer RNA, 78 nt
Filed under: Candidatus Sumerlaeota bacterium
Lineage: Bacteria; Candidatus Sumerlaeota
Description: tRNA-Glu
Rfam family: tRNA
About the family: Transfer RNA (tRNA) molecules are approximately 80 nucleotides in length. Their secondary structure includes four short double-helical elements and three loops (D, anti-codon, and T loops).
Source: RNAcentral
GGCGCCAUCGUCUAGCCCGGUCCAGGACGCCGCCCUCUCACGGCGGAAACUGGGGUUCAAAUCCCCAUGGCGCUACCA